GAUGAAGAACGUAGCGAAAUGCGAUACGUAAUGUGAAUUGCAGAAUUCAGUGAAUCAUCGAAUCUUUGAACGCAUAUUGCGCUCUCUGGUAUUCCGGAGAGCAUGCUUGUUUGAGUAUCAGUAAACACCUCAACUUCCAUAUCUUUUUUGAAAUGGGAGUUGGACUUAAGUGAUCCCAACGCUUUUCCUCACCGAAAAGUGGCGGGUUACUUGAAAUGCAGGUGCAGCUGGACUUUUCUCUGAGCUAUAAGCAUAUCUAUUUAGUCUGCCUAAAAAACAGAUUAUUACCUUUGCUGCAGCUAACAUAAAGGAGAUUAGUUCUUGUGCUGACUGAUGCAGGAUUCACAAAGACAGCUUCGGCCGACUUUGUAAACUCGAUCUCAAAUCAAGUAAGACUACCCGCUGAACUUAAGCAUAUCAAUAAGCGGAGGA
This 432-nucleotide unclassified non-coding RNA is filed under the name soil metagenome. Its description in RNAcentral is "partial contains 5.8S ribosomal RNA, internal transcribed spacer 2, and large subunit ribosomal RNA". The stretch from base 1 to 120 matches the Rfam family "5.8S ribosomal RNA", at positions 35 to 154 of the family's 154-position model. The record is from RNAcentral.